AUGCACGUGCAAAUCACGUGAGUUGGGCAGGGGUAAAAUUGUCACUUCACUUACAAUUGACAUGAGGUCCAAUUUUCAUCCCAUUCUCUGUUCUAUUUGACUAGAUUUCCUUCAUUUUGACUUAUCUUCUUCAAGCACUCUUUUAUUUUUAUUAUUUUUCCUUAUUUCUUUUGAUACUAUUUCGAUUUCUUCUUCCAUCUUCUCUUCCCCUUUCUUCUCUUUGGUUUCAUUUUAUUGGAAUUUUCACUUCAACCUCCGCUGAAUCCAACUGAACGGCCACCCACUGAUCCGCCGGAAAGUGGUAGGUGGUCCCGCGGAGCUUUCGGAAAAGGGUACCGAAUGCUCAUACGGGAAAGUUGACUCCUGGGUCUGGUUGCUCCGAGAAAUCCUUUCUUUCUCGUCCACUCAGGGGGGUGCUGAUCCACCUCCGGCGCUGCUGCUGCCGCCUCCUCUGGCUCCACCACCGCUAUUGUCGCCUCUGAGGAACAACCAUGGGUGAGGAGGCGAAAAAUGAUUGCGAUUGAUUUCAAUUGCUUUUUUAUUGUUUAAUUUGCUGGGUAAGAGAUUAUUGAG
This 573-nucleotide long non-coding RNA is filed under the name Erythranthe guttata (spotted monkey flower). Its description in RNAcentral is "long non-coding RNA (EGUT_LNC001123)". Lineage: Eukaryota; Viridiplantae; Streptophyta; Magnoliopsida; Lamiales; Phrymaceae. The record is from RNAcentral.